Molecule: ribosomal RNA, 443 nt
Filed under: uncultured bacterium
Lineage: Bacteria
Description: partial 16S ribosomal RNA
Rfam family: Bacterial small subunit ribosomal RNA
Source: RNAcentral
CCUACGGGUGGCAGCAGUGGGGAAUAUUGCGCAAUGGGCGAAAGCCUGACGCAGCCACGCCGCGUGAAGGAAGAAGGCUCUCGGGUUGUACACUUCUUUUAUCAGGGACGAAGCAAGUGACGGUACCUGAUGAAUAAGCCACGGCUAACUACGUGCCAGCAGCCGCGGUAAUACGUAGGUGGCAAGCGUUAUCAGGAUUUACUGGGGGUAAAGGGAGCGUAGACGGCCAUACAAGUCGGAAGUGAAAUACCCGGGCUCAACCUGGGAACUGCUUUGGAAACUGUAUGGCUGGAGUGCUGGAGAGGUAAGCGGAAUUCCUAGUGUAGCGGUGAAAUGCGUAGAUAUUAGGAGGAACACCAGUGGCGAAGGCGGCUUACUGGACAGUAACUGACGUUGAGGCUCGAAAGCGUGGGGAGCAAACAGGAUUAGAUACCCCAGUAGUC